Molecule: transfer RNA, 59 nt
Filed under: Staphylococcus aureus
Lineage: Bacteria; Bacillati; Bacillota; Bacilli; Caryophanales; Staphylococcaceae
Also listed under: 1 other name
Description: tRNA-Ile
Rfam family: tRNA
About the family: Transfer RNA (tRNA) molecules are approximately 80 nucleotides in length. Their secondary structure includes four short double-helical elements and three loops (D, anti-codon, and T loops).
Source: RNAcentral
UAGCUCAGCUGGUUAGAGCGCACGCCUGAUAAGCGUGAGGUCGGUGGUUCGAGUCCACU